Molecule: ribosomal RNA, 468 nt
Filed under: uncultured bacterium
Lineage: Bacteria
Description: partial 16S ribosomal RNA
Rfam family: Bacterial small subunit ribosomal RNA
Source: RNAcentral
GACGAACGCUGGCGGCGUGCUUAACACAUGCAAGUCGAACGGACAGGCCCUGCUUUUGUGGGGUGCUCGUUUGGCGCACGGGUGUGUGACACGUGAGUAUCCUGUCCUUGUCUUUGUGGUAAAUUCUGGGAACUGGGGAUCUUAUCGCAUAUGAUAUCUUGAUGCGUAGUGGUGGUUGGUAAGUUUCGGUGGUUCGGGAUGGUAUCGCGGCUUAUCCGCUUGUUUGUGGGGUUGGGGAUUACGAAGGCUUUGACGGGUAGCCGGCCUGAGAGGGGGACCGGCGACAAUGGGACUGAGAGACGGCCCAGACGCCUACGGGAGGCAGCAGGGGGGAAUAUGGCAAAAUGAGCGGAAGCCGGAUGCAGCAACGCCGCGUGCGGGAUGACGUCCUUCUGGUGGUAAACCGCUGUCGCCGGUGACGAAGCGUGAGUGACGGUAAUGGGUAAAGAAGCAACGGCUAACUACGUG